UACGUAGGGUGCGAGCGUUGUCCGGAAUUAUUGGGCGUAAAGGGCUCGUAGGCGGUUUGUCGCGUCGGGAGUGAAAACCCAGGGCUUAACCCUGGGCUGGCUUCCGAUACGGGCAGACUAGAGGUAUGCAGGGGAGAACGGAAUUCCUGGUGUAGCGGUGGAAUGCGCAGAUAUCAGGAGGAACACCAGCGGCGAAGGCGGCGCUCUGGGCCGGUACUGACACUGAGGAGCGAAAGCGUGGGUAGCAAACAGG
RNAcentral lists this ribosomal RNA (253 nucleotides) under uncultured bacterium. Its description in RNAcentral is "partial 16S ribosomal RNA". It matches the Rfam family "Bacterial small subunit ribosomal RNA", at positions 524 to 776 of the family's 1533-position model. The record is from RNAcentral.